Molecule: ribosomal RNA, 253 nt
Filed under: uncultured bacterium
Lineage: Bacteria
Description: partial 16S ribosomal RNA
Rfam family: Bacterial small subunit ribosomal RNA
Source: RNAcentral
UACAGGGGGCGCAAACGUUGCUCGGAAUUAUUGGGCGUAAAGCGCGCGUAGGCGGCUACUUAAGUCGGAUGUGAAAGCCCUUGGCUCAACUGAGGAAGUGCACCCGAAACUGAGUGGCUUGAGUACUAAAGAGGGUCGCGGAAUUCCCGGUGUAGAGGUGAAAUUCGUAGAUAUCGGGAGGAACACCGGUGGCGAAGGCGGCGACCUGGGUAGAUACUGACGCUGAGACGCGAAAGCGUGGGGAGCAAACAGG